UACGAAGGGGGGCGAGCGUUGUUCGGAAUUACUGGGCGUAAAGGGCGCGUAGGCGGUCCUUCAAGUCAGGCGUGAAAGCCCCGGGCUCAACCUGGGAACCGCGCUUGAGACUGGCGGACUCGAGUUCGGGAGAGGAUGGUGGAAUUCCCAGUGUAGAGGUGAAAUUCGUAGAUAUUGGGAAGAACACCAGUGGCGAAGGCGGCUCACUGGCCCGUAACUGACGCUGAGGUGCGAAAGCGUGGGGAGCAAACAGG
This 254-nucleotide ribosomal RNA is filed under the name uncultured bacterium. Its description in RNAcentral is "partial 16S ribosomal RNA". It matches the Rfam family "Bacterial small subunit ribosomal RNA", at positions 524 to 776 of the family's 1533-position model. The record is from RNAcentral.